RNAcentral lists this ribosomal RNA (301 nucleotides) under uncultured bacterium. Its description in RNAcentral is "partial 16S ribosomal RNA". It matches the Rfam family "Bacterial small subunit ribosomal RNA", at positions 509 to 808 of the family's 1533-position model. The record is from RNAcentral.
CAGUCGCCACGGUAAUACGUAGGUGGCAAGCGUUGUCCGGAAUUAUUGGGCGUAAAGCGCGCGCAGGCGGCUUCCCAAGUCCCUCUUAAAAGUGCGGGGCUUAACCCCGUGAUGGGAAGGAAACUGGGAAGCUGGAGUAUCGGAGAGGAAAGUGGAAUUCCUAGUGUAGCGGUGAAAUGCGUAGAUAUUCGCAAGAACACCAGUGGCGAAGGCGGCUUACUGGCUCGAAACUGACGCUGAGGCGCGAAAGCGUGGGGAGCAAACAGGAUUAGAUACCCCUGUAGUCCCUGUCUCUUAUACA